RNAcentral lists this long non-coding RNA (1200 nucleotides) under Homo sapiens (human). RNAcentral describes it as "Pvt1 oncogene". The stretch from base 202 to 331 matches the Rfam family "Pvt1 oncogene conserved region 5". Lineage: Eukaryota; Metazoa; Chordata; Mammalia; Primates; Hominidae. The record is from RNAcentral.
GAGUAGCUGGUAUUACAGGCGUGUGCCACAAAGCCUGGCUAAGUUUUGUAUUUUUAGUAGAGACGGGGUUUCACCAUGUUGGCCAGGUUGGUCUCGAACUCCUGACCUCAAGUGAUCCACUCACUUUGGCCUUUCAACGUGCUGGGAUUACAGGCGAGAGUCACCGCACCCGGACGACUCUGACAUUUUUGAAGAGUCCAGAAUCCUGUUACACCUGGGAUUUAGGCACUUUCAAUCUGAAAAAAUACAUAUCCUUUCAGCACUCUGGACGGACUUGAGAACUGUCCUUACGUGACCUAAAGCUGGAGUAUUUUGAGAUUGGAGAAUUAAGGCCAACAGAGAUUUUGAGAAACACAUUGAAGGAUCUGUUAACACUUGAUAUACCCAAUAAAAGCAGUGGUUGUGCCAGUGCUGAUCUGUCUUGAUGUGAAUGUGAACAAUGGGAACCUGAGCUGAGCAGUUAAUGCUAGGGUGACAGAAACUGGACCUCUCCCAAGACAUGUGACAGAGUAAUACAGCAGCCAACUUCUUCGCCAAAUUAAAGUUUUACAAGAUUUAACCUGUCAUCAAGACCUGGGAUUUUGGUGAGCCAGUCUUGGUGCUCUGUGUUCACCUGGUUCAUCUGAGGAGCUGCAUCUACCCUGCCCAUGCCAUAGAUCCUGCCCUGUUUGCUUCUCCUGUUGCUGCUAGUGGACAUGAGGUAACCACAGCCUAGUUCUGUGAUAAGCUCUUCACACCUGUACCCAUAUGGACUGUGGGAGAGUUUCUCUGAUAUGGACUGUGAUGCGGGACAGAAUAACGGGCUCCCAGAUUCACAAGCCCCACCAAGAGGAUCACCCCAGGAACGCUUGGAGGCUGAGGAGUUCACUGAGGCUACUGCAUCUUGAGACUCAGGAUGAAGACCCAGCUUGGGGCUGUCAAAGGUUUUUUGCAUGUCUGACACCCAUGACUCCACCUGGACCUUAUGGCUCCACCCAGAAGCAAUUCAGCCCAACAGGAGGACAGCUUCAACCCAUUACGAUUUCAUCUCUGCCCCAACCACUCAGCAGCAAGCACCUGUUACCUGUCCACCCCCACCCCUUCCCCCAAACUGCCUUUGAAAAAUCCCUAACCUAUGAGCUUUGAAUAAGAUGAGUACGAACUUCAUCGCCCACGUGGCGUGGCCGGCCUCGUGUCUAUUAAAUUCUUUUUCUACUACAA